RNAcentral lists this long non-coding RNA (644 nucleotides) under Volvox carteri. RNAcentral's name for it is "long non-coding RNA (VCAR_LNC000930)". The record is from RNAcentral. Lineage: Eukaryota; Viridiplantae; Chlorophyta; Chlorophyceae; Chlamydomonadales; Volvocaceae.
UCCAAUUGGUAUCAGAGCCUAGGUGAUCCUCCUCGCCGAGCUCUUCAUCGUCGUCGCCAUCGUCUUCGUCGUCAUCGCGCCAUCGCGCCAUCGCGCCAUCGUCUUCGCCUUCAUCACUUCGUCUUCGUCUUCGCCCUCAUCACUUCGUCUUCGCCCUCAUCACUUCGUCUUCGCCCUGGUCACUUCGUCUUCGCCCUGGUCACUUCGUCUUCGCCCUGGUCACUUCGUCUUCGCCCUGGUCACUUCGUCUUCGCCCUGGUCACUUCGUCUUCGCCCUGGUCACUUCGUCUUCGCCCUGGUCACUUCGUCUUCGCCCUGAUCACUUCGUCCUCGCCCUCGUCACUUCGUCUUCGUUCUCUUCACCUCUUCAACAACCAUGUCUCUCUCGAACGAGUUCCCGUUUCCGCCUUCCUUUCCUGCCGCCACCGACCCCGCGCCCGCGCCCGCGGCGCCCCCCACCACGUCCGAAGCCGCUCUCCCCUGGGAUAGAAUCUCAGAAGUCGCCGCACAUGCUGCCGUACGAGCCUUAGAGAAUCGUUCGUCAAACAACCAGCGCGGACCAGCCCCCCGAUUCAACCCCACGGCCAAGGACGCCGACCUCGCUUCGUGGGCCAACCGCCUACGUCUCCACUUUACGGUAUGCG